This 253-nucleotide ribosomal RNA is filed under the name uncultured bacterium. Its description in RNAcentral is "partial 16S ribosomal RNA". It matches the Rfam family "Bacterial small subunit ribosomal RNA", at positions 524 to 776 of the family's 1533-position model. The record is from RNAcentral.
UACGGAGGAUCCAAGCGUUAUCCGGAAUCAUUGGGUUUAAAGGGUCCGUAGGCGGUUUGGUAAGUCAGUGGUGAAAGCCCAUCGCUCAACGGUGGAACGGCCAUUGAUACUGCCAGACUUGAAUUACUAGGAAGUAACUAGAAUAUGUAGUGUAGCGGUGAAAUGCUUAGAUAUUACAUGGAAUACCAACUGCGAAGGCAGGUUACUACUAGUGGAUUGACGCUGAUGGACGAAAGCGUGGGUAGCGAACAGG